This 84-nucleotide transfer RNA is filed under the name Chthoniobacterales bacterium. Its description in RNAcentral is "tRNA-Leu". It matches the Rfam family "tRNA". Rfam says of the family: Transfer RNA (tRNA) molecules are approximately 80 nucleotides in length. Their secondary structure includes four short double-helical elements and three loops (D, anti-codon, and T loops). Lineage: Bacteria; Pseudomonadati; Verrucomicrobiota; Spartobacteria; Chthoniobacterales. The record is from RNAcentral.
GCUCGGGUGGUGAAAUGGCAGACACGUGCGUUUGAGGGGCGCAUGCCGCAAGGCAUGGGGGUUCAAGUCCCCCCCCGAGCACCA